RNAcentral lists this transfer RNA (69 nucleotides) under Marmota monax (woodchuck). Its description in RNAcentral is "tRNA.Ala". Lineage: Eukaryota; Metazoa; Chordata; Mammalia; Rodentia; Sciuridae. The record is from RNAcentral.
GGGGUUGUAGCUCAGCGGUAGAGCACUCGCCUAGCACGUGCAAGACUGGGUUUGAUCCUCAGCACCACA